GAAUUGAAACAUUUCUGGCGGAUUUUUGUGAAUUUCUUCGGUUUUUCGUGUUUUUAUGAGAUUUUAGACGUUUUUUCGGCUUUAAAUCACCCCAAAACCCGUAAAAUUAGGUGUAUUUACCCCUGAAAUCGAGAAAAAUUCCUAGAAAAUUUGAUUUUAACGCUAAAUUCUUGUUUAAGCGGUUCCUCGCUGAAAAUUGGCCAAUUUUGAUGGUUUUUCAGCUAAAUUUCGGAUAAAAAUCGAAAUUUUUUGGAUUUUUAACGACUUUUUUGUGUUGUUUUUAGCAAUUUUCCGCCGAUUUUUAGGUAAUUUUUCGCUGAAAUUUGCU
Caenorhabditis elegans is the source of this 328-nucleotide small nucleolar RNA. NCBI's taxonomy places the organism in Eukaryota, Metazoa, Nematoda, Chromadorea, Rhabditida, Rhabditidae. The record is from Ensembl.